This is a non-coding RNA of Pelobates cultripes (western spadefoot toad), 244 nucleotides long. NCBI's taxonomy places the organism in Eukaryota, Metazoa, Chordata, Amphibia, Anura, Pelobatidae. The record is from the annotation of a GenBank genome assembly.
AUUUUAUUACAUUUCAAAAGACAAUAGCAGAAAAGAACAUGAUGGAGUUACACAUAAUAAAAUGCAUAGGGCAAUAUAAAAUAUGCAAAAACUGCAUUAUGGCCUCUUUUGGCUCCGGACAAGCAAUGGACAGUCAAGUCCACUCCACAGAAUAGUCCUCCUUAGUGGAAACUUCCCCAAAGGUUACUCUUUCGUACUGUGAACAUCACAGACCAAUAAAGCUAUAUUUCUCUCGGAGUUCAAG